RNA transcript from Thrips palmi, 5285 nucleotides. It is a transcript of the gene named dual specificity protein phosphatase CDC14A, with no coding region annotated. Lineage: Eukaryota; Metazoa; Arthropoda; Insecta; Thysanoptera; Thripidae. The transcript has 15 exons. The record is from RefSeq and is a predicted model, not a curated record.
GUAGGAAGCACGUUUCGUAGGCUUUUGAGGCUUGUUUAUCGUUCGUGUAGGCGGCAGCAUCCGUUAAACAUAAAUUUGUAAAUAACUCAAUAUUUGCUGUUUGUAAACAAAUAGAGCCCACCCUGCGAGAAAAAUAACUGCCCGAGGAAUGCCCAAGGGAUUUUUAGAGAAGAUUAAUUUUAACUGAGACCAUCCCAUUACCUACAGCCAUGGAUGAUAGUAGUGGAGUACUAGUUAGUGCGUCUGAGUUCAUCAAGGAUCGCUUAUACUUUGUGACACUGCAGACAUAUGCCAAACCCAGAUCAACAGAAAAUACUCAUUACUUCUCUAUCGAUGAAGAAUUGGUGUAUGAAAACUUUUUUGCCGACUUCGGGCCUUACAAUUUGGCAAUGCUCUAUAAAUAUUGCCAGAAGUUAAACAAAAAAUUACAGACUGUACCAGCUAAGAAGAAAAUCGUGCACUACACGUCAACAGACCCUCAGAAAAGAGUGAAUGCUGCAUUCUUAAUUGCAUCUUUCUCUAUUAUUUAUUUGAAAAGGACUCCAGAUGAUGCCUAUGUGGACUUGUUGAGGGGGUCGAACCCACCUUUCAUUUCUUUCAGGGAUGCUUCUGUUGGAGCUGCUCUCUACAACAUAACUCUUCUAGAUUGCCUGAAAGGUGUUUAUGAAACUCACAAGAGGCAGUUCUUCAACCUUGAUGAUUUUGAUGUGAAAGAAUAUGAACACUAUGAGAGGGUGAAGAAUGGGGAUCUGAACUGGAUUGUUCCUCUAAAAUUUAUUGCAUUUUGUGGUCCUCAUGCUAAAAGCAAGAUAGAAGAUGGUUACUUCAUUCAUGCUCCAUCAGCAUAUUUCAACUACUUCAGGAAGCACAAUGUGACCACUAUAAUCAGAUUAAAUAAGAAGAUAUACGAUGCAAAUGACUUUAGCAAUGCAGGCUUUGAUCACAGGGAUCUUUUCUUUUUGGAUGGAAGUGUUCCCAGUGAUCACAUUUUGCAACAGUUCUUGAACAUUGUUGAGAGCACUAAGGGUGCUGUAGCUGUUCACUGUAAAGCUGGACUUGGGCGUACUGGCUCACUCAUUGGUUGCUACAUCAUGAAGCACUAUGGGUUGACUGCAAGAGAAACAAUUGCGUGGAUAAGGCUCUGCCGUCCUGGCUCUAUUAUCGGCCAUCAACAGCAAUGGUUGGAAGAGAAACAGGCAAAGAUGUGGGCUCAGGGAGAACUUUACCGAAGAGAACACGGUCCAACUCCUACUCCAAUGUUUGGUGUGUACAGUCUUAAGAUGAAGGAUAUGAUUGAGAGAGGAGUUCCCCUGAACAGCCAAGAGCUGUGUGAUAACCGCUCCAAGGUCAAUGAAGAUGCCAAGGUUGACAAUGUUCUUCGUAUCUUGAAGAAGGUGGACACCAUGAAGUUAGAUGACCAGACUGAUGAGAAUAAGAACAAUGGCAUCAACACCACAGCCCAGUCAACAGUGGCAGCAAAUAUUUUAAAGCUGACCCAGGGUGACAAACUGAAUCACAUGAAGGCUCAACGCCAACUGCAGCAUGUGAGGUCCCAUUCUUUGACAACACCGUCUUUACUAUUUGGAACUGGUCGACCUCAUACACGUGCCAUGAGUCAGACAUUCCGCAAUGAUUCCUCUCAGUCUAGUUCACAGCUUGCUGCUGUCUCCCCAAUCAAAGCACCCAAAUCCUUAUCAACCAUUGGAUCAUCAUGUGGUGGAUUGAAGCGAACAACUCGAACAUUAGCAAGUCCAGUUAAAAGAGCUUUACCUUUGAACUCCUUGUAUGGGACUUCACGACCACUUAACGCAAACAGGAGCGUUGUGGGUCAGUCUCUCUCAAUGCAUUCAAUUCGGUCUCAGUCCUCUCCUACAUCUCGUUGUGCAAGUUCUCUUUCAUCAGCAUCAAAUCUUGUUGGUCAUCCAACUCAGUCCACCCUCUUGGGCUCUGAUAAACUGACACGGUUCCGUGCUCUUCGUCACCUGAAAACUCCAGGGAUAUGAGAGAACUCUGCAAUUGAUGAUUAACUGCAGUACCUGACAAAUAAUUGGAUGAAAUGUUUCUGUCUGCUGCUUUGGAGUAUUUCGCUCUUUUUGCAUUUUGGAUGUGAAAUUUUACAGUUGUUCUAUAUUUAUUUUAUUUUUUGUGUGUGUUAACGUUUUAUACGUUGGAAUAUAAGUACAUCCUAUUGUGUGAACUAGGUAAACUUAGAAUAUAAGUUUUCUUAGGGCUAGGCUUUACCUCAAAGUGAUUGGUCCGUACUGCCCAUUUUUUUCUUUUCUUUUUAUAUUCUGUGUCAAAUGAAUUGCACUGAGUAACUUUCUACCAUUUUUCAGCGGUAAUUUUAUGUGGUUGCCGUCUUGAAACUUUUGAUAGUGAUUGAAGAGUUUUGAAUCUAAUAAUAGAGAUCCUUGAAGUUCUUAUUUUGUAGACUGCUAUUUUUAUACAUUUAUAAGAUGGACAUAAAGCAUGACAUAGGAUGUGAAGACUACAGUAUUACCGUAAUUCAUGAAUUUUUGGUAAAUCUCAACCUCUUAGAAUUUGGUUAUUUAUUUUUAUACGCAUAUUUUUUCUUUUGAAAAAAAAAGAAACAAACUUUAACAGGACAAUCUUCAUCAGUAACAUAUUACUCUUUUUGUAUUCUAUUAUAGUCUAGAGUUUAUUGGUUGAUAAGUUUUGUAAGCAAUUUAUUUUGUCAAAAUGCCUGGACGAAGACUGAUGUCUAUAUACUAUUGAUACCAACUGUGAUUUCUCCUAGCCUGGCACUCCUCUUCAUCUUUCCCUAUCUGAUCAGUCGAACAUCCACACGAAGCUCUCACAAAUCUACAUUUGUUAGAUGACUAUCGCUGCCGCCAUCAACCUCUCGAGAACCUAUACCGCCCUCUAGGAAACGCUUGAAUGAGGUCAUUGGAGCUGUUAAUGCAAAGCGGGGGGGAAGGAGCACUGAUGGCGAUGAAACUAUUGCAGACAGAGUUGCCUGGCGGCGACGGAAGCGACCUAAUGCCUCUCUCUACCAAACUUGUCGCAAGAUUUUUGGAAAGAAGAAAAAGAAAACCUGUAAUGAAAAAAUUCACUAUUACAUGACUUCUCAGACACACAAGGAUUUUGAUGUUGCCACAUCAUCUCAUCAACAGUAAUCCAUUCAGCGAUGAGAUGAGUAUUAAUUAGUGUUGCACAUUAAUAUCCUCAACAGCACAUGACUAAAAGCUCCCUUAAGGAGUAACCUCCUUUAAAAUAGCAGUGUAUUGCCUCACAGAUUCUUUGUCAUGGACAGUUUUACUCAUGUGUUUUAUUAAAAUUUGUUGGUGACACACAUGAGUUUCCCUUUGAUGAAUCGGCUUUAUUUAAUAUUUUAAAAUAAUGGAUGAGCUGUUUGUCCUAUUGACUUCAAUAGAAGAGUGCACUGUGCUGGUAUUUAGCAAUGAUUGUGGUAGCACUUUAAACUAACCAUUUUGUAUUUCAAGUUACGAGCAUUUAUUGCUUACUUUUCAAGAAAAAAUAUAUUUUUUAAAUUUGGCUAUGUGUAAUGUGGUAUCUGGUACUCUAAGUUGUUGAAAUAUGCCCAUUUACUGUUCAUAUGUGUACAUAACUCACUUCACCAUUUAAUACUUUUGCAUAAAUAUUGUGCAAAUUUUUAACAUUAGUAAAAUUUUUAUGUCAUUUAUUAUUAUUGUUCAAGUGGAGAAGAAAAUUAUUGCGUUUUUCAAUAGUUUAUUUACUUAAUCUGCCUCCUUCUGAGGCAGGUGACUGUUGUCAAAUGGAACAAAUUGAUUUGUUUUUAUGUGUGUUAAAUCUUUUAAUUCUCAUUUAGGCCCAAACUUUGACCAAGAAGGACUGUCAUGAGUUAUUCUGUGAUUCAAAUGGAUUAAUACCGAGCCUGUUUUUGAAUAAUUCGUACACAGGUGUUCCGUUCAGGCAACCGGAAUCAUUGUGAGCGAAAGGAAGGAGCCAUCUAAUGCAUCCACUAUCAUAUUAUGAUAUGAGACUGGUUAUUGUUGAUUUUUUUUACUAAUAGUUAACUUAAUCUCAAUUAUGCUAUCUUAAGUAUGUAAACCUAAAAUGUGUCUUUUGCUUGCAAUGUUCCAUAGUAGUCAAUUUUAAUAAUGUGAAAUAGCACUUCAAUCAAUUCUUUUGAUACUUUUCUGGAUGAAUCUUCAUGCUCAACUCAAAGUUUGGCUGAAGCUAGCUGUGCAGACUUCUUUUCUUAUUUCUUGAUGAAUUCGCAUCUAUGUAUUUUUAUGAGGGGAGCCUCUCAUUUGCUGUUGUCCGCUAGACACAUGCUCAGCAUGUUGUUUUAUUCAGAUUGUGAAAGUUACACACAAUGCUCCUUGAAACAUUGAUAUUUUGUGAUAGUUACAUUUUUGUGUAGGAGUCUUAUGUGUUUUACCCCUGCUAUUAAUUUAAUUUUAUGAUUAUUAUCAGUGUUUUACAAUCAAACUCACAGUCAAUGAACCUCAUUGUGCAAAGAAAUCAUUUUCUAUUGUAGCCUUGAUCUGUAGCAUUUAAUUUUUAUUUUUAAUUAUUUAUUGUCAUUGGUGGCAUUUUGGAUAGGUGCUUUGUUGGUCAUUAUUUGUUUUGCCUCACUUCAGAAUAUUUUGCCUUUUGUGUACCCGUGUGCUGCUGUGGUAGUAGAAACUCUCAUUCUUGAGUCACAAGAACUCCUCUCAGCAAUUAUCUGAUAUGCUUACGGAAAGGCGUGCUAGUGAAUCAAUUUGUGUUAUGCGACUUUUAUCUAUUGGCUGUGUCCUCAUCAAUAAUAAUCUGAAUUCGAGGAGACAUGCAUUUACUGUGUGAUUUAUGGCUUAUGUUAUUGCUUAAUAUUUUAUGAUAAUUUUAAUUGUAGUUACAGUAGAGCCAUUUAUAGAGCCCACCUUUUAAAACCCAUUAUUUCGGGCGAGGAUCUCAUAAGGUGCUUCUCUGAACUCUUCUUGCAUCUUUCAAACCACACAAGACUGUUUGAUAGUGUAAGUCUUGUUCUACAAUAGCAGAUAAAAUUUCUUGUGUGUUCUUAAUUACUAUAGGGAUUAUGAAACUGCUUCUUGGGUGGUUCCUUUUUAUUUUACUUUAACAGCUCCCAUGCAUUAAUAGUUCUAUGAGGACGUGUGGGUGGUGGGAAUACCAAAUGGAAUGUAUUUGCUUUUUGUUAUUGCCGUAAUCUUCCAAAAUGUAGCUUUUGUGAACUCCCGGUGCGAGUGUAUUCCCCUAGAUGAACUGUGUUUGUUAUUCAAAAUACUGUCCGCCUGCUUGAUUACUUAUCAGUAUAAUUAAAAACCUGCUUGCACCUA